UGUAUAUGAUGAUAUAAAUAAUCACCAUCUUUCGACUGAGAACUGUGAUGGCAAUUUCUUGCUGAAAGAAACU
Molecule: small nucleolar RNA, 73 nt
Organism: Bombus huntii
Lineage: Eukaryota; Metazoa; Arthropoda; Insecta; Hymenoptera; Apidae
Source: RefSeq, a predicted model, not a curated record